GCGCCCUUCGUCUAGCGGUUAGGACGUCGCCCUCUCACGGCGAAAACAGGGGUUCGAUUCCCCUAGGGCGCACCA
This 75-nucleotide transfer RNA is filed under the name Kaistia algarum. RNAcentral describes it as "tRNA-Glu". It matches the Rfam family "tRNA". From Rfam's summary of the family: Transfer RNA (tRNA) molecules are approximately 80 nucleotides in length. Lineage: Bacteria; Pseudomonadati; Pseudomonadota; Alphaproteobacteria; Hyphomicrobiales; Kaistiaceae. The record is from RNAcentral.